UACGUAGGGGGCAAGCGUUGUCCGGAUUUAUUGGGCGUAAAGAGCGUGUAGGCGGCUUUACAGGUCCGUUGUGAAAACUCGAGGCUCAACCUCGAGACGCCGGUGGAAACCGUAAAGCUAGAGUCCGGAAGAGGAGAGUGGAAUUCCUGGUGUAGCGGUGAAAUGCGCAGAUAUCAGGAAGAACACCCGUGGCGAAGGCAGCUCGCUGGGACGGUACUGACGCUGAGACGCGAAAGCGUGGGGAGCAAACAGG
Molecule: ribosomal RNA, 253 nt
Filed under: uncultured bacterium
Lineage: Bacteria
Description: partial 16S ribosomal RNA
Rfam family: Bacterial small subunit ribosomal RNA
Source: RNAcentral